AUUGAACGCUGGCGGCAGGCCUAACACAUGCAAGUCGAGCGGUAGAGAGAAGCUUGCUUCUCUUGAGAGCGGCGGACGGGUGAGUAAUGCCUAGGAAUCUGCCUGGUAGUGGGGGAUAACGUUCGGAAACGGACGCUAAUACCGCAUACGUCCUACGGGAGAAAGCAGGGGACCUUCGGGCCUUGCGCUAUCAGAUGAGCCUAGGUCGGAUUAGCUAGUUGGUGGGGUAAUGGCUCACCAAGGCGACGAUCCGUAACUGGUCUGAGAGGAUGAUCAGUCACACUGGAACUGAGACACGGUCCAGACUCCUACGGGAGGCAGCAGUGGGGAAUAUUGGACAAUGGGCGAAAGCCUGAUCCAGCCAUGCCGCGUGUGUGAAGAAGGUCUUCGGAUUGUAAAACACUUUAAGUUGGGAGGAAGGGCAGUAAAUUAAUACUUUGCUGUUUUGACGUUACCGACAGAAUAAGCACCGGCUAACUCUGUG
RNAcentral lists this ribosomal RNA (484 nucleotides) under uncultured bacterium. Its description in RNAcentral is "partial 16S ribosomal RNA". It matches the Rfam family "Bacterial small subunit ribosomal RNA", at positions 30 to 507 of the family's 1533-position model. The record is from RNAcentral.